AUUAAAAGUAUUUUCUGCUCAGUGUUUAUAAAUAGCUGCGGUAAUUUGACCGUGCAAAGGUAGCAUAAUCAUUUGCUUCAUAAUUGGGGGCUAGUAUGAAUGGAAAUAUGAAAAUUUUUCUUUCUUUUUAUUUUUUUAAAAAAUUGUAGUUAAUGUGAAGAUACAUUAUUUUUAAUAAAAGACAAGAAGACCCUUUUGAGCUUUUAUUUAGUUGGGGCGAUUAAAGAAGACUUCUUUUUAUUUUGACCCAAAGUUUUUUGGUUUUUAGAAUUAGUUACCAAAGGGAUAACAGCGUAAUUUUUUUUAAGAGCUCUAAUUAAAAAAAAAGAUUGCGACCUCGAUGUUGACUUAUAAUUUCCUUUUGGUGCAGUAGCUUAUAGGGUUGGU
This 387-nucleotide ribosomal RNA is filed under the name Oerstedia dorsalis. RNAcentral's name for it is "partial 16S ribosomal RNA". It matches the Rfam family "Bacterial large subunit ribosomal RNA", at positions 1845 to 2576 of the family's 2925-position model. Lineage: Eukaryota; Metazoa; Nemertea; Enopla; Monostilifera; Oerstediidae. The record is from RNAcentral.